Molecule: ribosomal RNA, 253 nt
Filed under: uncultured bacterium
Lineage: Bacteria
Description: partial 16S ribosomal RNA
Rfam family: Bacterial small subunit ribosomal RNA
Source: RNAcentral
UACAUGGGGUGCAAACGUUGCUCGGAAUUAUUGGGCGUAAAGAGCUCGUAGGCGGUUUGUCGCGUCUGCUGUGAAAACCCGAGGCUCAACCUCGGGCCUGCAGUGGGUACGGGCAAACUAGAGUGCGGUAGGGGAGAUUGGAAUUCCUGGUGUAGCGGUGGAAUGCGCAGAUAUCAGGAGGAACACCGAUGGCGAAGGCAGAUCUCUGGGCCGUAACUGACGCUGAGGAGCGAAAGCGUGGGGAGCGAACAGG